GACCGACCGACGGACAGACCAGUGCUUUCACGGUGUGAGCGCGCGUCGUUUGGCGGAAAUCUGGCAUUUUUUAAAGUUUGCGCCCCACAAAGAGGAAAUAUUCCAAAGGUACUCAGGAUGUAAAAGGGGAGAUCUUCACAGAUGCCUCCGUGGAUGGCAUGGCAAUCCAUCCAUCAAUGAGAAGACCAUGAUUUCUUUUAAUUUUCUGUGUGUUUCCACAUUCCCCAGUGAGAAUUCUUCCACCUUUUUUUGUGCCAUGGGAAAAACCUGAAGGGCAGGCAGAGCUGCUCCCGAACUUGUGACCUUCUCUGAGGUUGCAGCGGCUCUUGUAGAACAUGACUCUGGGACAUCACUUCCUUUUGUUUUCUUUCGGAGCUGAACCAAAGAAUGUGCACCCUCUUUCUCUAGUGCUGUGGUGUCUGCUUAUUUUUGUAUUUGUGCUUUCCAUCCAUCUUCUGUGAUCACAAGGCAUUCUUAAGGUUUUCUAGCACGACUUGCGGACAUCCAGACUCGUGGGGGGCCCACCCAUGGCUCGGUAAGCCAGCAGCCCAGGGCACUGGCACUACCAUGAGGCACUGCAUUAAUUGCUGCAUACAGCUGUUACCCGACGGCGCACACAAGCAGCAGGUCAACUGCCAAGGGGGCCCCCAUCACGGUCACCAGGCGUGCCCCACGUGCAAAGGAGAAAACAAAAUUCUGUUUCGUGUGGACAGUAAGCAGAUGAACUUGCUUGCUGUUCUCGAAGUGAGGACUGAAGGGAACGAAAA
This 767-nucleotide long non-coding RNA is filed under the name Homo sapiens (human). RNAcentral describes it as "HSALNT0169480". Lineage: Eukaryota; Metazoa; Chordata; Mammalia; Primates; Hominidae. The record is from RNAcentral.